This 253-nucleotide ribosomal RNA is filed under the name uncultured bacterium. RNAcentral's name for it is "partial 16S ribosomal RNA". It matches the Rfam family "Bacterial small subunit ribosomal RNA", at positions 524 to 776 of the family's 1533-position model. The record is from RNAcentral.
UACAGAGGGUGCAAGCGUUAAUCGGAAUUACUGGGCGUAAAGCGCGCGUAGGUGGUUUGUUAAGUUGGAUGUGAAAUCCCCGGGCUCAACCUGGGAACUGCAUCCAAAACUGGCAAGCUAGAGUAGGGCAGAGGGUGGUGGAAUUUCCUGUGUAGCGGUGAAAUGCGUAGAUAUAGGAAGGAACACCAGUGGCGAAGGCGACCACCUGGGCUCAUACUGACACUGAGGUGCGAAAGCUAGGGGAGCAAACAGG